GACGAACGCUGGCGGCGUGGAUUAGGCAUGCAAGUCGAGCGAGAACCGUAGCAAUACGGGGACAGCGGCGAAAGGGACAGUAAUGUGUAGGUACCUACCCCGAGGUCUGGGAUAGCUGCGGGAAACUGCAGGUAAUACCGGAUAAUGUCUUCGGACCAAAGGUGUGAUUCCACCUUGGGAGGGGCCUGCAUCCUAUUAGCUUGUUGGCGGGGUAAUGGCCCACCAAGGCGACGAUGGGUAGCGGGUGUGAGAGCACGACCCGCGUCAUUGGGACUGAGAUACUGCCCAGACACCUACGGGUGGCUGCAGUCGAGGAUCUUCGGCAAUGGGCGAAAGCCUGACCGAGCGACGCCGCGUGCGGGAUGAAGGCCUUCGGGUUGUAAACCGCUGUCGUAGAGGAGGAAAUGCAGGGGGGUUCUCCCUCCUGUUUGACCUAUUCUAGGAGGAAGGACGGGCUAAGUUCGUGCCAGCAGCCGCCGUAA
Molecule: ribosomal RNA, 482 nt
Filed under: uncultured bacterium
Lineage: Bacteria
Description: partial 16S ribosomal RNA
Rfam family: Bacterial small subunit ribosomal RNA
Source: RNAcentral